This 393-nucleotide ribosomal RNA is filed under the name uncultured bacterium. RNAcentral's name for it is "partial 16S ribosomal RNA". It matches the Rfam family "Bacterial small subunit ribosomal RNA", at positions 523 to 918 of the family's 1533-position model. The record is from RNAcentral.
AUACGUAGGAUGCGAGCGUUAUCCGGAUUUAUUGGGUUUAAAGGGAGCGUAGGCGGGAUAUUAAGUCAGCUGUGAAAGUUUGCGGCUCAACCGUAAAAUUGCAGUUGAUACUGGGUGUCUUGAGUACAGUAGAGGCAGGCGGGAUUCGUGGUGUAUCGGUGAAAUGCUUAGAUAUCACGAAGAACUCCGAUUGCGAAGGCAGCCUGCUGGACUGUAACUGACGCUGAUGCUCGAAAGUGUGGGUAUCAAACAGGAUUAGAUACCCUGGUAGUCCACACAGUAAACGAUGAAUACUCGCUGUUUGCGAUAUACAGUAAGCGGCCAAGCGAAAGCGUUAAGUAUUCCACCUGGGGAGUACGCCGGCAACGGUGAAACUCAAAGGAAUUGACGGGG